Non-coding RNA from Doryrhamphus excisus (bluestripe pipefish), 1168 nucleotides. NCBI's taxonomy places the organism in Eukaryota, Metazoa, Chordata, Actinopteri, Syngnathiformes, Syngnathidae. The record is from RefSeq and is a predicted model, not a curated record.
CGGAACAACAACAGUGAAAAUGUUCUUGGUUUAGGCCAUAAGUCAGAAGUGCAUUAUUGCAUAUUGGGUCAAAAUAGUAUGUAUUUUGUUUUUUAAUAAAACUGGACUUGUGAAUGGCGUAUAGAAGGGUUUAGAUUCUGUUCCACAGAUGGCGCUAAUGCACACGAAAGCUGCUUGCCAACCGCCAAUAAGCAACAGAAGAAGAAAAACACCACGAAGAAGAACACAGUCUGACAACUUUCCGAUUGAGCGGGUACAAGAUACCUCAAUCGGAUUGGGGGAAGGAAUAUUCUGUUCCUGGGAAUCUGAUUAUAUUUUCAUUCGGAUUGGCACUUUUCUUUCGGAAUGAGAUUUCUUUCCAUUGAAGUACGGGAAAGGAUUCCACCAGGAUAGAAGAUGUCAGGGAUGACCCUGCUGCUGAGUAGAAAAGACAAGCCAAAAAGGGAAAUCUUGACCGGACAGGGUGUUCACCGAGAAACAUUUGCAAAGUAGCCAUCCACAGCUUGAGUAGCAUUCUGUGCACAGACAUGGAGACAGUGGGUGCACUGUGGAGGACUUGGACUCACUCCAGAGCCUCUCGAGAACAUUCCAUUGAGAGUCUGCUCGCCGGUUGGCCGCGAGGCUGGUGAAGCGAGAGCCGAGGGAGAAUGGCACGCCUCAAUAUACAAAUCUGACGACACCACAAGACAAAGACUGGGGUGUGUGGUAGCCAAACAUAUGAGCAGACUGGGUUACAACAAAGAACAGUGUGUUCAAGUGCCACACAAUCACCAGACUGACUCUUAUUUCUAAGUAUUUGAAAGUAGGACUGUAGAAAAGUACUACACACACACACACACGUGUACACAUAAAGAAACCGCAUCGUCUUCUGAGGUACAAUUUCACUCAACCUAAUUACAGUGGGCUGCCGCAUUUCUCAUUUGGGUUGCCAAAAACUCUCAACAUUUACCACUUACAGGUCAUGACACAUACAUUUAUAUCUGGAUACAGGAAAAACACUGCAUUUUAUAUGCACUUCUAAAUGAUACGUGUAUGUAUGUAAUGUUUAGGGCAGGGGUCUCAAACAUGUGGCCCGCAGGACACUAGUUUGAGGCCCCCGCCUUGAUAUGAAAGUUUAAUGUUAGUGCGGCCCGCGUAAGUUCGAUAUGGAUGCUGUAUGGUAUCAUGU